RNAcentral lists this ribosomal RNA (494 nucleotides) under uncultured bacterium. Its description in RNAcentral is "bacterial SSU rRNA". It matches the Rfam family "Bacterial small subunit ribosomal RNA", at positions 30 to 507 of the family's 1533-position model. The record is from RNAcentral.
AUGAACGCUAGCGGCAGGCUUAAUACAUGCAAGUUGAGGGGCAGCAUGAUAUACGCGAGUAUAUUGGUGGCGACCGGCGGACGGGUGAGUAAUAGGUAGGAGACCUACCUCAUACAGGGGGAUAGCAUAGAGAAAUCUGUGGUAAUACCCCAUGAGGUUAUAUGAAUAGAGGCAUAUAAUCAAAGCAUAAGCGAUUAUGCGGUAUGAGAGGGGCCUACUGACCAUUAGCUAGUUGGUGAGGUAAGGGCUCACCAAGGCGAAGAUGGUUAGGGGUUUUGAGAGAGAGACCCCCCACAUUGGAACUGAGAGACGGUCCAGACUCCUACGGGAGGCAGCAGUAGGGAAUAUUGGGCAAUGGGCGAAAGCCUGACCCAGCCAUGCCGCGUGAAGGAAGACGGCCUUAUGGGUUGUAAACUUCUUUACUACGCGAAUAGAGGUUAGUACGAGAUACUAAUAGGAAGGUAGUGUAGUAAAAAGCACCGGCUAACUCCGUG